UACGUAGGGGCCAAGCGUUGUCCGGAUUUAUUGGGCGUAAAGAGCUCGUAGGCGGUUUGGAUAGUCGGGUGUGAAAUCUCGGAGCUUAACUCCGAAACUGCAUUCGAUACUGCCGUGCUUGAGGACUGGAGAGGAGACUGGAAUUUACGGUGUAGCGGUGAAAUGCGUAGAUAUCGUAAGGAAGACCAGUGGCGAAGGCGGGUCUCUGGACAGUUCCUGACGCUGAGGCACGAAGGCCAGGGGAGCAAACGGG
RNAcentral lists this ribosomal RNA (253 nucleotides) under uncultured bacterium. Its description in RNAcentral is "partial 16S ribosomal RNA". It matches the Rfam family "Bacterial small subunit ribosomal RNA", at positions 524 to 776 of the family's 1533-position model. The record is from RNAcentral.